AGAGUUUGAUCCUGGCUCAGGAUGAACGCUGGCGGCGUGCUUAACACAUGCAAGUCGAACGAACCUUCGGGUUAGUGGCGGACGGGUGAGUAACGCGUGAGAAUCUGCCCUCAGGAGGGGGAUAACGGUUGGAAACGGCCGCUAAUACCCCAUAUGCCGCGAGGUGAAAUGAAUUUCGCCUGAGGAUGAGCUCGCGUCUGAUUAGCUAGUUGGUGUAGGUAAUGGCUCACCAAGGCAUCGAUCAGUAGCUGGUCUGAGAGGAUGAUCAGCCACACUGGGACUGAGACACGGCCCAGACUCCUACGGGAGGCAGCAGUGGGGAAUUUUCCGCAAUGGGCGAAAGCCUGACGGAGCAACGCCGCGUGAGGGAUGAAGGCCUCUGGGCUGUAAACCUCUUUUCUCAAGGAAGAAGAUCUGACGGUACUUGAGGAAUAAGCCACGGCUAAUUCCGUGCCAGCAGCCGCGGUAAUACGGGAGUGGCAAGCGUUAUCCGGAAUUAUUGGGCGUAAAGCGUCCGCAGGCGGCCCUUCAAGUCUGCUGUUAAAGCGUGGAGCUUAACUCCAUCAUGGCAGUGGAAACUGUUGGGCUUGAGUGUGGUAGGGGCAGAGGGAAUUCCCGGUGUAGCGGUGAAAUGCGUAGAUAUCGGGAAGAACACCAGUGGCGAAGGCGCUCUGCUGGGCCAUCACUGACGCUCAUGGACGAAAGCCAGGGGAGCGAAAGGGAUUAGAUACCCCUGUAGUCCUGGCCGUAAACGAUGAACACUAGGUGUCGGGGGAAUCGACCCCCUCGGUGUCGUAGCCAACGCGUUAAGUGUUCCGCCUGGGGAGUACGCACGCAAGUGUGAAACUCAAAGGAAUUGACGGGGGCCCGCACAAGCGGUGGAGUAUGUGGUUUAAUUCGAUGCAACGCGAAGAACCUUACCAGGGUUUGACAUCCUGCGAACCUCUUGGAAACGAGAGGGUGCCUUCGGGAACGCAGUGACAGGUGGUGCAUGGCUGUCGUCAGCUCGUGUCGUGAGAUGUUGGGUUAAGUCCCGCAACGAGCGCAACCCACGUCUUUAGUUGCCAGCAUUUAGUUGGGCACUCUAGAGAGACCGCCGGUGAUAAACCGGAGGAAGGUGUGGAUGACGUCAAGUCAUCAUGCCCCUUACAUCCUGGGCUACACACGUACUACAAUGCUACGGACAGAGGGCAGCAAGUUCGCGAGGACAAGCAAAUCCCGUAAACCGUAGCUCAGUUCAGAUCGUAGGCUGCAACUCGCCUACGUGAAGGAGGAAUCGCUAGUAAUCGCAGGUCAGCAUACUGCGGUGAAUACGUUCCCGGGCCUUGUACACACCGCCCGUCACACCAUGGAAGUUGGCCACGCCCGAAGCCGUUACUCCAACCCUCGGGAGGAGGACGUCGAAGGUGGGGCUGAUGACUGGGGUGAAGUCGUAACAAGGUAUCCGUACCGGAAGGUGCGGAUG
RNAcentral lists this ribosomal RNA (1465 nucleotides) under Synechococcus sp. AG-670-D07. RNAcentral describes it as "bacterial SSU rRNA". It matches the Rfam family "Bacterial small subunit ribosomal RNA". Lineage: Bacteria; Bacillati; Cyanobacteriota; Cyanophyceae; Synechococcales; Synechococcaceae. The record is from RNAcentral.